Molecule: small RNA, 1829 nt
Filed under: Pongo abelii (Sumatran orangutan)
Lineage: Eukaryota; Metazoa; Chordata; Mammalia; Primates; Hominidae
Description: retained intron
Source: RNAcentral
UGCGCUCAUCAUGGUAAGUCACUUCUGUGCAGCAUGUGGGAGGCCCUUGCACCUCCUCUCACCAACCUGGAGCUUGCUCUACGGCGGUUUCCUUUCCGCUAACCCCUUCACUCAUUUAUCUGCUUGAGACCAUUGCCGCCUCUUGCAGUUUUCUCCCAGCUGCAGACCAGUCGAAUCCCAGGCCAUGGCUUCUGUGCUCCCGCAUCACUACACAAGUGGGAGUGGGGUCCCCUGCCAGCCGCAGCCCCUGGGAACUUGUUAGAAAUGUGAAUUCCCAGGCACCCACCCCAGACCCCACUGAAUCAGAAAUGUGGGGGGUGGAGCCCAGCAGUCCAUGUUAACACACCUUCUAGAUGAUUCUGAUCUGAACAUGCCAAGUGUGAGAAGCACAGAAUUAGAACAGCCAGCACAGCCUCUAGGGGCACAGGGAAGGAAGGUGCUUGUAUGUGAGCAGAUGAUAUCGAGGGCCUUGCUGAACAGCCUUGAUUCAGACAGAAUCCUAGGAUGAGGGAAGAAGUCAUGUUUGGAAGCUUUGCUUUUGUGAAAAAACAGUGAAGGACUUGACGUUUUCCUGCAUAACACAACCGUUUUCCUCAGGCCAGACACUCGCGCCACUCUGCAUACAGGCUCUGUCAGAAGAGUGUCUGCCCCAGCCAGCGUGGGCACUGCUGCAGGGAGAGCCCCGAGGAGGCGCCUGCCGCUGCUGUUUGGCUAGCAUUCUGUUCACUCUCGUGUCCUUUGCCUUGUGCUCAGGUAGACAACACCAAGUUUACGAUGGACUGCGUAGCGCCUACGAUCCACGUGUACGAGCACCAUGAGAACAGAUGGCGGUGCAGAGACCCACACCAGUGAGUGCGCCCCAUGCUGCCGCGCGGGCUGCGCUCUGUCAGCGCCCGGCCACGUGAAAGCCACUCUCACCCAGCCUGUGUUUUCAGUUAGUGUUUUCUCCAGAGGCAUGAUACCGAGCAUAUUCCCCAGCUCCUGUAGGCCCCAGUGCUCCAGCGCUUCCAGGCAGUAGAGGGAACCUCAGUGGUACUCACAGGUCUUCCCACCCCAGGCCCUAGGGCACAGACACUCUUCCCAGGCCUUUGCUUUGAUGUAUCUGUGGCCAUUCAGAAAGCUUCAGUCAUCUGCCUCCAACUUUCUCAGAAUUCCAUGUGAAGGGUGUCCCUUCCAUGUAUUAACCAUGUUUUCUAUGCUCUGUGUACAUCUUCAUGCGUUUGAAAUGCACAUGUUUCUCAGUACUCUGCACCAUCUCUGUUCAUACCAUUGUGCAUAUGGCUGGCCUUCUCACUUGAUGCUGUUACAAGCCAUCCGUUUUCACUGUUAGAUGCUGACUUCUUCAUGUUUGACCCGUAGUGACUACUGUGAAGACUGGCCAGAGGCACAGAGGAUCUCAGCCUCGCUCCUGGACAGCCGGUCCUAUGAGACGCUCGUGGAUUUCGAUAACCACCUGGAUGACAUUCGGAAUGACUGGACAAACCCAGAGAUCAAUAAAGCUGUCCUGCACUUGUGCUAGGCAGGCACCGCUGUGACUGGGCUCCGGGCCUUUCCACUACACUGAAGAAGAAAACCUAUUUUUAAAUGUAAAUAAAAUAUCUUGUAGCCUGUGUGGAAAGCUGACCGUUUUAAGAAGUGGCAUGUGCCUUGAAAGGGGGCAGAAUGUUCAGUCGGUCGUGUUUUUAACACAGAGUCUCUAGAAAAGGUGCAGACAUCCCGUCUGACUGUCCCUGUGGACUGUCUCAGUUGUAUGUUGCUAUAAUCCUCCAAAUCAAAGCUCUUUCUGCUUGUGCAAGAUUGUUCCUAUUAAACAGUUUUAACUAACCUUU